AAUCACCUUCCCGAGCUCUUUGUCCUGUACGACAUUACCGUUGCAGCAGAACUCUUUUUUGAGGUCUUUAAGGAUCUUUUCGUAGCUGAAUUCCUUCCUCAGCCCCUGGACAGUAGUUAGGCUUUUCUUUCCAUUCCUCUGCUGUAUCCUUAUAUGCACAUACUCCUUCGCACCGGGAGCACCUGAUUCUUUGGCCUCAGAAAAUGGAUCGAAAGUAGUAGGAAUUUCAACGUCUA
RNAcentral lists this long non-coding RNA (236 nucleotides) under Olea europaea (common olive). Its description in RNAcentral is "long non-coding RNA (OEUR_LNC002024)". Lineage: Eukaryota; Viridiplantae; Streptophyta; Magnoliopsida; Lamiales; Oleaceae. The record is from RNAcentral.